This 976-nucleotide ribosomal RNA is filed under the name uncultured bacterium. RNAcentral's name for it is "bacterial SSU rRNA". It matches the Rfam family "Bacterial small subunit ribosomal RNA", at positions 12 to 996 of the family's 1533-position model. The record is from RNAcentral.
UUUGAUCCUGGCUCAGGACGAACGCUGGCGGCGUGCUUAACACAUGCAAGUCGAACGGAAAGGCCCUGCUUUUGUGGGGUGCUCGAGUGGCGAACGGGUGAGUAACACGUGAGUAACCUGCCCUUGACUUUGGGAUAACUUCAGGAAACUGGGGCUAAUACCGGAUAGGAGCUCCUGCUGCAUGGUGGGGGUUGGAAAGUUUCGGCGGUUGGGGAUGGACUCGCGGCUUAUCAGCUUGUUGGUGGGGUAGUGGCUUACCAAGGCUUUGACGGGUAGCCGGCCUGAGAGGGUGACCGGCCACAUUGGGACUGAGAUACGGCCCAGACUCCUACGGGAGGCAGCAGUGGGGAAUAUUGCACAAUGGGCGGAAGCCUGAUGCAGCAACGCCGCGUGCGGGAUGACGGCCUUCGGGUUGUAAACCGCUUUCGCCUGUGACGAAGCGUGAGUGACGGUAAUGGGUAAAGAAGCACCGGCUAACUACGUGCCAGCAGCCGCGGUGAUACGUAGGGUGCGAGCGUUGUCCGGAUUUAUUGGGCGUAAAGGGCUCGUAGGUGGUUGAUCGCGUCGGAAGUGUAAUCUUGGGGCUUAACCCUGAGCGUGCUUUCGAUACGGGUUGACUUGAGGAAGGUAGGGGAGAAUGGAAUUCCUGGUGGAGCGGUGGAAUGCGCAGAUAUCAGGAGGAACACCAGUGGCGAAGGCGGUUCUCUGGGCCUUUCCUGACGCUGAGGAGCGAAAGCGUGGGGAGCGAACAGGCUUAGAUACCCUGGUAGUCCACGCUGUAAACGGUGGGUACUAGGUGUGGGGUCCAUUCCACGGGUUCCGUGCCGUAGCUAACGCUUUAAGUACCCCGCCUGGGGAGUACGGCCGCAAGGCUAAAACUCAAAGGAAUUGACGGGGCCCCGCACAAGCGGCGGAGCAUGCGGAUUAAUUCGAUGCAACGCGUAGAACCUUACCUGGGUUUGACAUGGAUCGGGAG